GAUGAACGCUGGCGGCGUGCCUAAUACAUGCAAGUCGAGCGAACGGACGAGAAGCUUGCUUCUCUGAUGUUAGCGGCGGACGGGUGAGUAACACGUGGAUAACCUACCUAUAAGACUGGGAUAACUUCGGGAAACCGGAGCUAAUACCGGAUGAUAUUUUGAACCGCAUGGUUCAAAAGUGAAAGACGGUCUUGCUGCCACUUAUAGAUGGAUCCGCGCUGCAUUAGCUAGUUGGUAAGGUAACGGCUUACCAAGGCAACGAUGCAUAGCCGACCUGAGAGGGUGAUCGGCCACACUGGAACUGAGGCACGGUCCAGACUCCUACGGGAGGCAGCAGUAGGGAAUCUUCCGCAAUGGGCGAAAGCCUGACGGAGCAACGCCGCGUGAGUGAUGAAGGUCUUCGGAUCGUAAAACUCUGUUAUUAGGGAAGAACAUAUGUGUAAGUAACUGUGCACAUCUUGGCGGUACCUAAUCAGAAAGCCACGGCUAACUACGUG
Molecule: ribosomal RNA, 497 nt
Filed under: uncultured bacterium
Lineage: Bacteria
Description: partial 16S ribosomal RNA
Rfam family: Bacterial small subunit ribosomal RNA
Source: RNAcentral